UUUUAUGGAGAGUUUGAUCCUGGCUCAGGAUGAACGCUGGCGGCGUGCCUAAUACAUGCAAGUCGAGCGAACGGACGAGAAGCUUGCUUCUCUGAUGUUAGCGGCGGACGGGUGAGUAACACGUGGAUAACCUACCUAUAAGACUGGGAUAACUUCGGGAAACCGGAGCUAAUACCGGAUGAUAUUUUGAACCGCAUGGUUCAAAAGUGAAAGACGGUCUUGCUGUCACUUAUAGAUGGAUCCGCGCUGCAUUAGCUAGUUGGUAAGGUAACGGCUUACC
The sequence is a ribosomal RNA, 280 nucleotides long. It matches the Rfam family "Bacterial small subunit ribosomal RNA", at positions 1 to 269 of the family's 1533-position model.